This 400-nucleotide long non-coding RNA is filed under the name Sinocyclocheilus anshuiensis. RNAcentral's name for it is "lncRNA (ENSSANG00000032114.1)". The record is from RNAcentral. Lineage: Eukaryota; Metazoa; Chordata; Actinopteri; Cypriniformes; Cyprinidae.
ACUCACUCUCUCACUCACUCACUCUCUCACUCACUCACUCUCUCACUCACUCACUCUCUCACUCACUCACUCUCUCACUCACUCACUCACACACACACACACACACACACACUGAUUCUACUGUAUCAGGACGGACUGACAGAUUGACGGCAGUAUAAUGAUUCACUCCAAUCAGUCCAUUCACUCCAUCUUCUGCUGCUGCUGCUGUGCUCUACAGACCAGAAGCAGCACUCAUGUGGAUGUGAACCCCAGCAGAUAUCCGGGAUCCGUCUACACGACUCAGCUGUCCCAGAAGAAGCUUCCUCCGUCUCCUCCUGAGGAUGAUGAUAGCGGCGGUGCUGAUGUCUGCAAUUCUCUCUCUCAGGAACAAGGGCUUCAUUCCCAGUAACUAUGUUACAGA